RNAcentral lists this long non-coding RNA (2103 nucleotides) under Ricinus communis (castor bean). Its description in RNAcentral is "long non-coding RNA (RCOM_LNC003405)". Lineage: Eukaryota; Viridiplantae; Streptophyta; Magnoliopsida; Malpighiales; Euphorbiaceae. The record is from RNAcentral.
UGGCUGUUCCUUAUCGGCAUCUCAUCUAGUCUAGAUCGAUUCCCUAAGAGCUUCUUCUCUAGCAGGCGAUUUGGCCCAUUUUUUCAUUCCUUGUAAUAAGGCAAGGCCUUUCCCUAUCACGACCGCCUUCCUUUCUUCGGCAUUCAUUCAUCUCAAAAGAAAGAGCUAGCGAACCUCACCAAUUCCAUUCCAAUUCUCUCAGACAGAGCAGGAUAGCUGCCAUCAAGCUGCCCCUUUAGAGCGAGGGCCUUCCGAGACCAAUGCUAUCAAGAAGAAGGAAGAAGAGCCUUGAGCUAAAUCAUUGACCUUGCGCCUGCUUUGAUUAGGACAUUGCCGCAUUUCAUCUCAAAGAGGAUCUAACUCUUUCCGGCUUAGCCGAACUACUUGGCUCGGGUCAAUUCAGUCUUUUUUUAUCGCAAGUAAAUAGCAAAAGGGCUGAUGAAAGAGCACCGUCUUCUCUUAUUCCUGAAAACAUUUGCAGAGCAGUUAUUACAAAAAGACUAGCAUCUCUAACAGGAAAAGCAAGCAAAGACCUCCCCUUUUGUUUGGUGGCCUCCCUCCUUGAGAAGGGUCAAAGCAGAAUCAGAAUCAGACUCUCGGACGUGGGAUCUUGCCUAAAGAAAUUUCCAUUGAGCGGGGUAAGUCUCAAAAAGCAUUUCACCGGCACUCAGCCCUUCUCCCCUUACUCCAAGAGCCGAAACAGCCUCUAUUCCUUCAACAGCAGUUAGACCUUUUUCUAAUCCUACUGCCCUUCUCCCAAGAGUUGAAGAAAAGGCUACCGACUUCGCCUACUUUGACUACGCUAUUCUUCCCAUUUCGAAAGAAGAAAAGAAGAAGUAGCCCCGCCAACGACAACAGAUUCAAUAGCUGGGGAUCUUGCUAACAAUGAAACUCCUAACCUUAAAUCAUAUAAGCGGGGAGGUUCUGCUCCUCUCCUUUACAGUCGAGUGGCUCCGCUCCUCCCUUCUGGCCAUUGAAAGCAUUCCAAUUGCAGCUUCUUCUUAGGAUUCGUUCAAAAGAGCAUUUCCCUAAUCUAAUGCCAUGCCCUGAGUCCUAAUCUCCUAAUGCCCUACUCCAACAGCUAAAUCGAUGCAUCGCUUAUUCCCUCAAGCCUUCAAAGAUCGGAUUCUUCCUCUCGGGUUCCUUCACUUAGAGUAGUGAAUCCAGUGAAAGCCGAAGACUAAGAAGAAGGUACGGAAGUCGGGAAAACUACUUCAUACGAUAACGAUACCAUUCACAGCGGAACAAGAAGAAUCACAGUCGACUCAACUUGAGCUAUCGAGUCAGUAGCUGCCUUUAGAGCUGGGAGUUGUAGGGUAGCAGCUAAGAUUAACUAAAAGGACUCUCCUCAACCCUCAACCUAGACGUAGAACUCCUAGCUCUGGAGCUGAUUGAAUUGAUUCUUUUUAACAGCUACCGACUCUUCUCCUCGCUCACUGAACUCCCCCAACCUAGUCUCAGGUCAAGAGAUAAGAGCGAUGGCAUACCAAGAGUCACUCGCUUCCAUUGGGCGAACUUUCAUCUGUUCUCUUUCCUUCUUUCUGCUUUGAUGGUAAAAUGAACCACUUUGCUUAUCACAGUUAGUUCGAUUUUCUUUGAUCCUCAUCUCGUUCACUCACAGAAGACCUUGCCUAGCUCUACUUUCUUAUACCGGGAACCCUAGCUUACUAGGAAGCCUUUCGCUCGUCCCUUCGCACGUGAAUCUUGAUAUCCCCUUUGCCGGGCUAGAGAGCAUUUCUUUCUUCGAUCGGAAUACGGAAAAGAUCAGAAAGGCGGGGCAAACAUUUUUGAGUCCUUGGCCCGGUGUACAGGGCAUCUAAAAUGACCGAGGGCAGUCAAGGCCUCUUCCUUCGGUCUCCCUAAAUGCGGAAACAGGCAUUCAUGAGUUCGGGAUAAGUAAUGUGAUGAAGGAAAGAGUAGGGGCCUCGUCGAAAGUAGUUCAGUUUUCUCAAAGCUUCCGGAGUACAAAUCCUCCCCCGGAAUGACGUCUCCAGAGGGGUUUCUUUAUCUCAUUUGAAUUGCUUCACAAGGAGAUUACUAUGUUAGCAUGUUUUCAAAAUUGGCUUACAAUUUCUAUUGUAAUCGCAAAUGCCAAUCUAUUUU